GCGUCUGUAGCUCAGCUGGAUAGAGCGUCGGCCUCCGAAGCCGAAGGGCGCAGGUUCGACUCCUGUCAGGCGCA
This 74-nucleotide transfer RNA is filed under the name Gemmatimonadaceae bacterium. RNAcentral describes it as "tRNA-Arg". It matches the Rfam family "tRNA". Rfam says of the family: Transfer RNA (tRNA) molecules are approximately 80 nucleotides in length. Their secondary structure includes four short double-helical elements and three loops (D, anti-codon, and T loops). Further hydrogen bonds mediate the characteristic L-shaped molecular structure. tRNAs have two regions of fundamental functional importance: the anti-codon, which is responsible for specific mRNA codon recognition, and the 3' end, to which the tRNAs corresponding amino acid is attached (by aminoacyl-tRNA synthetases). tRNAs cope with the degeneracy of the genetic code in two manners: having more than one tRNA (with a specific anti-codon) for a particular amino acid; and 'wobble' base-pairing, i.e. permitting non-standard base-pairing at the 3rd anti-codon position. The record is from RNAcentral. Lineage: Bacteria; Pseudomonadati; Gemmatimonadota; Gemmatimonadia; Gemmatimonadales; Gemmatimonadaceae.